GGUGUAUAGCUCAGUUGGUAGAAUGUUUGCCUUGCAUGCACAAAGCCCUGGGUUCAAACCCUAGCACCA
RNAcentral lists this transfer RNA (69 nucleotides) under Marmota marmota marmota (Alpine marmot). It matches the Rfam family "tRNA". From Rfam's summary of the family: Transfer RNA (tRNA) molecules are approximately 80 nucleotides in length. Their secondary structure includes four short double-helical elements and three loops (D, anti-codon, and T loops). Lineage: Eukaryota; Metazoa; Chordata; Mammalia; Rodentia; Sciuridae. The record is from Rfam by way of RNAcentral. RNAcentral also lists the same sequence under 1 other name.